Molecule: long non-coding RNA, 1008 nt
Filed under: Homo sapiens (human)
Lineage: Eukaryota; Metazoa; Chordata; Mammalia; Primates; Hominidae
Description: HSALNT0234589
Source: RNAcentral
UGGUGGAGAGCACGGCUGGCUCAGAACUGGAGCCCGCUUUCCCCGGCGUCACCGCCUUUGCCUCUCGAGCUCAUGCUGUCGCCAGGGCGUCUCAAGGUGUCACAUUUGCUUUCUGACUAUUUCGGAGUGCUCCGGCCUUGGCAGGCUCCCACCUGCCCAGUUCUGGGACGCAUUGCCAGCCUGCCCUAGCGCUGGCCUCACCUCCCCAGGGCCGCCCUCCCCGCCGGCCACCAGGCUGCACCUGCGUCUGGGCUGUGCCUGCUGCAGCAGCUCAGCACAGUGCACAGCCCCCACCCUGCAGUGGCCUUCGCAGGAGCCCGCACUGUAAAAUGGAACAAAGUCACGUGGACACACACACCUCUUCUCCUCCUCCUCUCCAGCAUCCCCUCUGGAGCGGCAGCAGAAACAGAAAAGUUUGCCAAGUGACAAUGAAAAGACAGCAGCCAAGUCAAGGACAGAGGAGCUGAGCUGAAUCACCAGACAGCGGGACAAAGCGGGCCAGCUUCUCCCCGUCCUCUGCUUCCAUGGGAACCGGGUCCAGCCUCCUCAAGGGCCUUCCUGACAGCUCCGGCCCUGCCCUCUGCCCUCUGCCCUCUGGGUCCCGGCAGCGCUCCCUGGCCAAGCUCCUCAAGUAACCCUUGCUUGGUUAACGGGCAAAAUGCACCACAGCCAACUGUGAUCUUCAGGGGAGGGAGGGCCCGUCUGACACUGAUUCCAGGUGCUAGCAAAGCACUCUAAAAUAUGUCGAGGAGAGGCUUCAGAGAGAUUAACGCAGCACGACCAUCAUCUGCGGAGCCAGGCCAUAUGCCAGGGCGGCCAAGAUUUCCCCUGCAACACUGGUCUCACACUUCAACCAUGACCUCCAUUCACGUAUAUAUAUGUAAGAGCUUAAUUAGGAUAUAAUUCACUUGCCAUGAAAUUCACCCUCUAAAACAUACAAUUCAGUGAUUUUUAGUGUAUUCACAGAGUUGUGCAGCCACCACCAUUUCCAGAACAUUCUCUCACCCC